This 440-nucleotide ribosomal RNA is filed under the name uncultured bacterium. Its description in RNAcentral is "partial 16S ribosomal RNA". It matches the Rfam family "Bacterial small subunit ribosomal RNA", at positions 338 to 795 of the family's 1533-position model. The record is from RNAcentral.
CCUACGGGAGACAGCAGUAGGGAAUAUUGCUCAAUGGGGGAAACCCUGAAGCAGCAACGCCGCGUGGAGGAUGAAGGUUUUCGGAUUGUAAACUCCUUUUGUUAGAGAAGAUAAUGACGGUAUCUAACGAUUCAGCACCGGCUAACUCCGUGCCAGCAGCCGCGGUCAUACGGAGGGUGCAAGCGUUACUCGGAAUCACUGGGCGUAAAGAGCGCGUAGGCGGGAUAGCAAGUCAGAUGUGAAAUCCUAUGGCUUAACCAUAGAACUGCAUUUGAAACUGUUAUUCUAGAGUAUGGGAGAGGUAGGUGGAAUUCUUGGUGUAGGGGUAAAAUCCGUAGAGAUCAAGAGGAAUACUCAUUGCGAAGGCGACCUGCUAGAACAUAACUGACGCUGAUGCGCGAAAGCGUGGGGAGCAAACAGGAUUAGAUACCCCUGUAGUC